UGAUCUGCCUACCAUGGUGAUAACGGGUAACGGGGAAUCAGGGUUCGAUUCCGGAGAGGGAGCCUGAGAAACGGCUACCACAUCCAAGGAAGGCAGCAGGCGCGAAAAUUACCCACUCCCGGCACGGGAAGGUAGUGACGAAAAAUACGAAUACGGGACUCAAUCGAGGCUCCGUAAUUCGAAUGAGUGCAAUCUAAAUCCUUGAACGAGGACCAAUUGGAGGGCAAGUCUGGUGCCAGCAGCCGCGGUAACUCCAGCUCCAAAAGCGUAUAUUAAAGUUGCUGCAGUUAAAAAGCUCGUAGUUGGAUCUGGGUCGUGCGUUCACAUGUCGUUGUUUGGUUCUGGCUUCGGUCAGUUUCGAACGAUGAUGAGGUGGUCGCGCAGCCUUUCAGCCGUGUCUGCGUGAGCAGGUGUUGGCUGGCCGGUGGGCUUGCUUGCUGGCCAGUUGGCAUGUUUCCUGAUGCCUUUAAACGGGUGUCGGGGGCGUACGGCACUUUUACUUUGAACAAAUUUGAGUGCUCAAAGCAGGCCCAUGUGCCUGAAAAGUCUUGCAUGGAAUAAUGGAAUAGGACUUCGGUUCUAUUUUGUUGGUUUCCGGAUCCGAAGUAAUGGUUAAGAGGAACAGACGGGGGCAUUUGUAUGGUGGCGUGAGAGGUGAAAUUCUAUGAUCGUCGCCAGACAAACUACAGCGAAAGCAUUUGCCAAGAAUGUUUUCAUUGAUCAGGAGCGAAAGUCAGAGUUUCAAAGACGAUCAGAUACCGUCCUAGUUCUGACCAUAAACGAUGCCAACUGACG
RNAcentral lists this ribosomal RNA (795 nucleotides) under Bolbophorus damnificus. RNAcentral's name for it is "SSU rRNA". It matches the Rfam family "Eukaryotic small subunit ribosomal RNA", at positions 333 to 1051 of the family's 1831-position model. Lineage: Eukaryota; Metazoa; Platyhelminthes; Trematoda; Strigeidida; Bolbophoridae. The record is from RNAcentral.